UACGUAGGGGGCUAGCGUUGUCCGGAUUUAUUGGGCGUAAAGAGCGUGUAGGCGGCCAUGUAGGUCCGGUGUGAAAACUCGAGGCUUAACCUCGAGAUGUCAUCGGAAACCAUUUGGCUAGAGUCCGGAAGAGGAGAGUGGAAUUCCUGGUGUAGCAGUGAAAUGCGCAGAUAUCAGGAAGAACACCAAUGGCGAAAGCAGCUCUCUGGGACGGUACUGACGCUGAGACGCGAAAGCGUGGGGAGCGAACAGG
This 253-nucleotide ribosomal RNA is filed under the name uncultured bacterium. Its description in RNAcentral is "partial 16S ribosomal RNA". It matches the Rfam family "Bacterial small subunit ribosomal RNA", at positions 524 to 776 of the family's 1533-position model. The record is from RNAcentral.